CUAUUUCUGAAAGAAUUGUUUCUAUUCCUAUUUUCAUUCUUUUUUUUUCUUCUUCUUUUUUAAAUUAGAGAAUGUAUCCUGUAUUGGUUCUGGACAAAAUUGCUGCAGUUGGAAAUAAUGUCACAGGGAUAAGGAACUAUUCUGACAAAUAGUAACAUAUAUGUCCACAAAACCUGCUUUUCUCACUGUUCAGUUUUGAAUAUUGAAAUUCAAUCAAGCUUUUUUUCCCCCAGAAGUGACUUUGAGGUUAUUUCACUUUUGAAAUUUAAUUACUGGGGGGAUGAGAUUCCUUUUUCUUACACUGUAUCCUUCCCCUGUGUGAAGAAGUCCCUGGUAUGCUGUGGUUAAUGUGUGAUUAUCUCACUUUAACUUCAUAAAUCACUUGUGUACCUCACAAGUAGCAAACUGAGAAUAUUUUAAAUUAAUCUUUUGUAAAUUUAGGGGUGCUUAGUAAACAUUUUACCCUUAUAAAAUUUUGCAUUACCACAGCUAUAACAGAAGUAAUAAACUGGGUUAUAGGAGAUAGAAGCUAAGCUUUAUUUUUUAGAGAGUCGUAUAGUCAUUUAAUAACAGCAGAAUGUACAAGUGGUAAAUGCCAUAGAACUGAAGGUAGCAUUUAAGGUUUUAUUGAAAUAUUUUAUAUGGUAUGACAUCUGCAAUACAGAGAAUUGCUUUUAAGUAUAAUGGAAUCAGCAAAAAAAAAGCUUUAAUUAUUUGUUAAAAUUAUAUAAUGUUUCAUAUAUAAACAUAAAAUCAUGUAUAUGCAUAGGUGAAUAUGCCUUUUUAUAAAAAAUAUCAUUUAAAAUUUAACAUACCGUGAACAUCUCUAGAAGGAUUCAUUCCAUGUACGCAUUCUGAAAUAAUAGAAAGUAGGAAAAUAAAAAUAGUCAUAUGAAUAUACUUGCAACCAACUGACAGUUAAUGAAAUUUAAUUUAAAUAUAAUAACAGCACGUUUAAAAACAAUUUCUACUGAAUUAUUUUUUUGUUGUUGUUAGUUCAUGGCUUCUCAUACUUUUUAGUACUGGAGGUUUUUCACACCAUUGUCCAAAUAUAUCCAGCAUAUUUGGCACAAAACUAAAAACAGCAUAUCAAC
This 1094-nucleotide long non-coding RNA is filed under the name Marmota monax (woodchuck). The record is from RNAcentral. Lineage: Eukaryota; Metazoa; Chordata; Mammalia; Rodentia; Sciuridae.